GGCAUGUUUCUGAUAUCUACAAACUUAUAUCGUAAUGCAUGAAAAUAAACAACAAAUUGCUAUUUUAUAUUAUGAAACUGUCUGAAUGUAAUUUCACAGUUAAUUUCCAUUCACUCUUCCUCAGACUAUAAGCUAUAAGUAACCACAAACUGGAAGUUCCAGCAAGUCUAAGUCAUUCAAGAUUCUUCCAUAAUGCACAACCAAAUCUUCCCAUGGAAAGUGAAAACUAUAAGUUUCCAAUAUCACAUGCACUGACUUGGCAUUGCAGCAGUGAUGUUGGAGCAUCACCCUAAUGCUGAAAAUCUAGCAAUUCAAAUUCACAGCCCAUACAAAGCUUUGCAAAUAUCCCUUCCGAUACAUGCCCACUCUACAUCUUACUUGAUUUCCUAAACAAUAUUAUAUAUGAAAAUCACAGAAUACAUUUACAUCACAAAUAGAGGUAUAUCAUCAUUUCCGACAGCAUAAAGC
RNAcentral lists this unclassified non-coding RNA (468 nucleotides) under Hevea brasiliensis (rubber tree). Lineage: Eukaryota; Viridiplantae; Streptophyta; Magnoliopsida; Malpighiales; Euphorbiaceae. The record is from RNAcentral.